UGCGGCAACCAUAUCACAUUGGAAGCGCCGGUUCUCGUUCGAUUACCGCAGUUAAGCAACGUUGACAUUAAUCAAUACUUGCAUGGGGGACCAGAUGGGAACACCGCGUGUCUCUGGCU
Molecule: ribosomal RNA, 119 nt
Filed under: Schistosoma margrebowiei
Lineage: Eukaryota; Metazoa; Platyhelminthes; Trematoda; Strigeidida; Schistosomatidae
Source: RNAcentral